This 1200-nucleotide ribosomal RNA is filed under the name Triticum aestivum (bread wheat). RNAcentral's name for it is "partial small subunit ribosomal RNA". Lineage: Eukaryota; Viridiplantae; Streptophyta; Magnoliopsida; Poales; Poaceae. The record is from RNAcentral.
AUGCCACAUACGGAGUUAAGCUUGCCUGCCCCAGAGGAGCUGAUCCAGGUCCAGCCCAGUGAGAUCCACUUCCCCUUUCUGCCAAAUGUGAUGCUGUCAGCUUCGUCUUUAAUUAAGGUACUAAACAUCACGGAUAACUACGUCGUUUUGGUUUCAAGGACACCGGUUGCAAAUGUAGCAGAGUACGGAACCCGUCGGAAUGUAGGAACCCUACCACCAAGGUCCACACAGGAAUUUCUUGUCAGAAGGAUAGUGAAGAAGUCCGUUGUGCAGAGCAUCGAGUGCGACGACAAGUACCUUCUUUUCAGCACCACUGUGAGCAAGAGCUUCAUUAACUCGGAACAUUGCGUCGAUUUAAAUAAAUUCUUCGAUAAACAGAGUGGUCAAAUAUGGCAUAUCAGAGAGUUGGCCGUUGUUCUAGAACCAGCAUAUCGAGAAGGGUCCCCCGACGGUAUGCCACAUACUGAGGAGCUGAUCCAGGUCAUUCCCCAUGAGCUCCGCUUUCCGUUUGUUCCAGAUGAGAGUAUAUCAGUUACAUCUUUGAUUAAGGUAGUCAACAUGACAGAUGACUACAUCGCUUUCCAUCCAAGGUAUAAUGUGGCCAAUAUGGCAGAAUACACCAUGACACCUACGGGAGGAAUCCUGCGACCAUGGUCCACACAAGAUAUCAUGGUAACGAGGACAUCAAGGAAGGGGGUUCUACAGAGCAUUAAAUGCAACGACACGAAUUUUCUGUACAGCACCGUUGUGAGUGAGGAUUUCCAGAGCGACGAUCUUGGAAAAUUCUAUGAUACAGAAGCGGGCGUUAUAUGGCACAAGCUGGAGUUGGGUGUUCUUCUUGAAGAAGACACCCAGUUGCAGCCCUCAGAGUUUCUGACACAUAAUGAGACAGAAUCCACACUUGACCCUAUGUCGUUACAACAUCUGAAAGACAUCACAAACAACUUUUCCAAUGAGAGAAUACUUGGUAGAGGUGGUUUCGGUGUGGUAUAUAAGGGAGUGCUAGGAAAUGGAAAAAUGGUAGCUGUGAAGAAACUUGUGCAGUCAAUGCCAAGUUCACAACAGCAAUUUGAGAAUGAGGUUAAUCUUCUUAUGAAACUAAAGCACCCAAAUAUAGUGCGACUAGUAGGAUACUGCUAUGAAACACAGCAUUUACGUGGUCAUCAUGAAGGCAAAAUCGUUUUUGCUUGGAACACAUAA